CAAACGACUCUCGGCAACGGAUAUCUCGGCUCUCGCAUCGAUGAAGAACGUAGCGAAAUGCGAUACUUGGUGUGAAUUGCAGAAUCCCGUGAACCAUCGAGUCUUUGAACGCAAGUUGCGCCCGAAGCCACCAGGCCGAGGGCACGUCUGCCUGGGCGUCACGC
Molecule: ribosomal RNA, 164 nt
Filed under: Anginon rugosum
Lineage: Eukaryota; Viridiplantae; Streptophyta; Magnoliopsida; Apiales; Apiaceae
Also listed under: 20 other names
Description: 5.8S ribosomal RNA
Rfam family: 5.8S ribosomal RNA
About the family: 5.8S ribosomal RNA (5.8S rRNA) is a component of the large subunit of the eukaryotic ribosome.
Source: RNAcentral